GCCCUUUUAUUAACUCCGCGGUAGAGUCACGCCAUGGUAAGGCGUAAGUCAUCGGUUCAAAUCCGAUAAAGGGCU
RNAcentral lists this transfer RNA (75 nucleotides) under Aconitum carmichaelii. RNAcentral's name for it is "tRNA-Thr". It matches the Rfam family "tRNA". From Rfam's summary of the family: Transfer RNA (tRNA) molecules are approximately 80 nucleotides in length. Lineage: Eukaryota; Viridiplantae; Streptophyta; Magnoliopsida; Ranunculales; Ranunculaceae. RNAcentral also lists the same sequence under 2 other names. The record is from RNAcentral.